GUUUGUAUACAAACUUUGUAUAAUAUGUCUAGCACGUGACUGAGUCUGGCUUUGUAUGCUGUUGGCAAUAGGUUUGUAGUAUUUUGUGUUGUUCAACUGUCUCCGUGCCUCCAGUGCAUAUUGUUGUGAAUCCAUGAUGACAAUUUUUGAUCCUUUAUCCGCUGGUUUUAUGAUGAUAUUGGGAUUAUGUUUCAGAGCUGAGAUCGCUGUCCUGUCCUCCACCGUCAUUACGUCCAUUCUUUGAAAGAGCGGUGUGUAACGGUUUAGAAUGGUGAUGUCCCGGCGGAUCAGCCUCUGUGUGUGUUUGCUUAUUGCGUCGCAAGGAGGCUCCCAGCUCGACGGUAGCACGAACGGCGGCUGUGUCAUAUUCUCAUCCUGGAAGUACUCGAUCAGUUUGAUUCUUCGAUGGAAGUUAUGGAGGUCCCGGCGCAGCGUUGUCCGGUCUAGCGGGUUGGGAGUGGGGAUAAAAGUAAGUCCCUUCUCCAAUAGACGAAUUUGAAGUGUGUUCGGUUCAAAGAGUGUGGACAGGUUUAAAAUGUUUGAUGGAGAGCUCCAGGACAGGUCCGGUUUUAUCCGUGGAUUCGGGUGUGUAUUUAUUGUCAAGUCUGAACGAGGGAGCACGAUAUCCGUGUGUUGGAAGUGAGUGCUGUGCGCGAGGGAGGGAGGCGUCGAGAGAGCAUGAGGGCGGGGCUGAGCUCCGGAGAGAGUUUUUGUUAUUUUUUCACUCACCGAGCUUCCACUGUCCCGUAGUGUUUCCUCCGUGUCCAGAAUGGACCUCACGGCUAUUUUAAAUUUAGCUGCAGCUCUGCGCACCAGUGAUGGAACAUGUUUCUGGCGGUGUCCUUCGUCCAGUGUAUGGCGUCCUGUGUGGUGGCAAAUUCCUCGGCUGGCAGCGGACUUAAGAAAGGAAUGCGUCGCUUUGCGUGUGGAGAGAGUGGAGUCGCUGUCCGCUGCUUGUUCGGUUCGGACUGGAGAGGAUAUUGGACGGCAGAUGGAGCAGUGUGAUGACGGCAGAGAGGGAGAAGAAGGAGGAGGAGGAGGAGGAGGUGGUCCACCCCUGGAUUGAGGCCUUCUGGCUCCGGCUGCCACCUAGGUCGGUAAGUGCUGAAGUAUUAUAAAGUGCCUGCAGUUCCUGUCUUGUGAAUUAAUAUCAAAAUUGUAAUAAUAUUCCUAUUUGUAUAUCCUUUUUCCUUUUUCAUGCAGAACAAAUGACAAUAAGAGGACAAGUGCCAACAUCAGGUAAGUAUAAAGUUCAUGCAAGUGAAGAAUAAAUUAGAGUAGAUUAUUAAGGGGGGGAAAAAA
This 1302-nucleotide long non-coding RNA is filed under the name Betta splendens (Siamese fighting fish). Its description in RNAcentral is "lncRNA (ENSBSLG00000006842.1)". Lineage: Eukaryota; Metazoa; Chordata; Actinopteri; Anabantiformes; Osphronemidae. The record is from RNAcentral.